This 496-nucleotide ribosomal RNA is filed under the name uncultured bacterium. RNAcentral describes it as "partial 16S ribosomal RNA". It matches the Rfam family "Bacterial small subunit ribosomal RNA", at positions 29 to 507 of the family's 1533-position model. The record is from RNAcentral.
AUGCACGCUGGCGGCGUGCCUCAUACAUGCAAGUCGAGCGAACGGACGAGAAGCUUGCUUCUCUGAUGUUAGCGGCGGACGGGUGAGUAACACGUGGAUAACCUACCUAUAAGUCUGGGAUAACUUCGGGAAACCGGAGCUAAUACCGGAUAAUAUUUUGAACCGCAUGGUUCAAAAGUGAAAGACGGUCUUGCUGUCACUUAUAGAUGGAUCCGCGCUGCAUUAGCUAGUUGGUAAGGUAACGGCUUACCAAGGCAACGAUGCAUAGCCGACCUGAGAGGGUGAUCGGCCACACUGGAACUGAGACACGGUCCAGACUCCUACGGGAGGCAGCAGUAGGGAAUCUUCCGCAAUGGGCGAAAGCCUGACGGAGCAACGCCGCGUGAGUGAUGAAGGUCUUCGGAUCGUAAAACUCUGUUAUUAGGGAAGAACAUAUGUGUAAGUAACUGUGCACAUCUUGACGGUACCUAAUCAGAAAGCCACGGCUAACUACGUG